GAAGUGAGGAAUUCAGACCUUAGUACGAGAGGACCGGGUCUGACGGACCUCUGGUGUUCCAGUUGUCGUGUCAACGGCAGUGCUGGGUAGCUAUGUCCGGAAAGGAUAAGCGCUGAAAGCAUCUAAGCGCCAAGCCUCUCCCAAGAUGGCUUCUCCCUGAAGAGUCGUGGUAGACCACCACGUUGAUAGGCUACGGGUAUAAGCACAGCAAUGUGUUAAGCUCAGUAGUACUAAUUACUCGUUUGGCUUGAUAAU
RNAcentral lists this ribosomal RNA (255 nucleotides) under Verrucomicrobiota bacterium. RNAcentral's name for it is "Verrucomicrobia bacterium (rhizosphere metagenome) partial 23S ribosomal RNA". It matches the Rfam family "Bacterial large subunit ribosomal RNA", at positions 2659 to 2925 of the family's 2925-position model. Lineage: Bacteria; Pseudomonadati; Verrucomicrobiota. The record is from RNAcentral.